This 115-nucleotide non-coding RNA is filed under the name Nakamurella multipartita. RNAcentral describes it as "SAM-IV sequence". It matches the Rfam family "SAM (S-adenosyl methionine) riboswitch aptamer". Rfam says of the family: SAM-IV is a mRNA element that regulates gene expression via direct sensing of S-adenosylmethionine (SAM or AdoMet). SAM-IV riboswitches share conserved nucleotide positions with the previously described SAM-I riboswitches sequence analysis and molecular recognition experiments suggest that SAM-I and SAM-IV riboswitches share similar ligand binding sites, but have different scaffolds. Lineage: Bacteria; Bacillati; Actinomycetota; Actinomycetes; Nakamurellales; Nakamurellaceae. The record is from RNAcentral. RNAcentral also lists the same sequence under 1 other name.
GGUCAUGAGUGCCAGCAGAUAGCCCCGGCUUGCUGGCCGGCAACCCUCCAACCGCGGUGGGGUGCCCCGGGUGAGGACCUGGCCGUGCGCGAGGUGCGCUCGGCAAGCGCGGGCC